GUUCAACACUGAGUAACUGGACAUAUGUUUUGGUAGAGACAUAUAAAGGAGGACAAGAAGUUCUAUUGCUGAUUGAUGGGAGUUAGAUAACACCUAAUUCUCUGUUGUUACUUCUGUUUGUCGUCUGUUGCAUUUUCUACCUAUUCUGCAAGUGCUUUCCUUUCAGUGUGUCCUCUUCUAAAAACAACAUCAGGCCAAAGCCAUUGAAAUUUGGUCUUCGAUACAAGUAUUAUUCCAAUAAUGCAAAGAAUGCCAGUGUUUUGAUGGAAAUUAGACAAGUAUCUGUGGGUUAAAAAUGAGGGAAUUAUUUCCCUGUUGUAUCCUACCCUAGGAUAACAGUAGUAAACCUCAGCCCUGCCAGAGGGAAUGAGGUGGUGUGGGCAUUUUCAUUUGCCCAACAACUGAAGACAUUUGCUCAGUUCAUUGCUGAAGAUUCAAACUUGCCACCAGAUGACUGAGUCACAGAUCUGGGAUUUAUAAGUAAGCUGUAUUGGCUGAUCUGUGUAUGUGGCUGACUGGCUGACUGUUGUUCUUGAGCAGAGAAGAGUAGGCAGUCACCUGCAAUUUAUGCUAGACCUGGUAAUUUUUCCGCUGUGCAGUAACUAGUUUAGCUAACAGUCAAAGGUUUAUCAUGGAACUUGUUCGUGAUAUUAUGAAGUACAAAAAUAACUGUAAGCUGUGAAUAGAACCAAACUGAUUUGUGAGACAAAAGCCAGAACCAAGUGACAAUUGGGAUGAGUGAAGGUUACAGGACGAUUCAGAGUUGCACAACAAAGAAACUUUUGCUUUUUAUUUUAUGACACAAAAAACUGUCAUCUUGUCAUCUCUCUAGGAUACAUUUUUUGGCCUUCGGAUUGUGAUUUCCCAUUGUUUUUGUGAUCAGAUAGCAACACCACACAACAUCCUUCUCAGCCACUUAUAUCAAAAUUGUCUUUCAUCCAUCAUGGUUAGAAGAACUACAUAAGAGUCUGAAGUACUUGGCUGGACUUGUGCUGUGCUACUUGGACACUCACCUGAAGCUGCUGUGUAGGGGAAAGAAUAGACAUCUGCACAGAGGUCAACUGCAUCUGGUUUGCCUUGUGGAUGGACCCACAGCUCCCUAGUUGUAUAGGGAGAUGAGAUCAUGUAUUCCAAUUUUCCUAGUAUGCAUCAGCAGGAAUGCAUUAAGGGAGGAAAGCAAGGUUAAAUCACCUUGAUUUCGUCAGGUUUGUAACUCUUAGCAUUUCUUACCUGGGAAUGUAAAACUGAGUGUAAUGCACAGCACUUCUCUGAUACUAUGGAGAAUUGAAAUGGGAUGGUGUUGAGCCUGUUGCUUGCUUUCUUAGACCAAUUUUGGUUUUUAGCUGUAAAGAAAUAUUUUCUG
RNAcentral lists this long non-coding RNA (1363 nucleotides) under Phasianus colchicus (ring-necked pheasant). RNAcentral's name for it is "lncRNA (ENSPCLG00000009111.1)". The record is from RNAcentral. Lineage: Eukaryota; Metazoa; Chordata; Aves; Galliformes; Phasianidae.